UGGGGAAUAUUGGACAAUGGGCGCAAGCCUGAUCCAGCAAUGCCGCGUGUGUGAAGAAGGCCCUCGGGUUGUAAAGCACUUUUAUCAGGAGCGAAAUCUGCAAGGCUAAUACCCUUGUAGUCUGACGGUACCUGAGGAAUAAGCACCGGCUAACUCCGUGCCAGCAGCCGCGGUAAUACGGAGGGUGCAAGCGUUAAUCGGAAUUACUGGGCGUAAAGCGUGUGUAGGCGGUUUGUUAAGUCUGUUGUGAAAGCCCCGGGCUCAACCUGGGAAUGGCAAUGGAUACUGGCAAGCUAGAGUGUGAUAGAGGAUGGUGGAAUUCCCGGUGUAGCGGUGAAAUGCGUAGAGAUCGGGAGGAACAUCAGUGGCGAAGGCGGCCAUCUGGAUCAACACUGACGCUGAGACACGAAAGCGUGGGGGAGCAAACAGGAUUAGAUACCCUGGUAGUCCACGCCCUAAACGAUGCGAACUGGAUGUUGGUCUCAACUCGGAGAUCAGUGUCGAAGCUAACGCGUUAAGUUCGCCGCCUGGGGAGUACGGUCGCAAGACUGAAACUUAAAUGAAUUGAC
RNAcentral lists this ribosomal RNA (569 nucleotides) under uncultured bacterium. RNAcentral's name for it is "partial 16S ribosomal RNA". It matches the Rfam family "Bacterial small subunit ribosomal RNA", at positions 355 to 914 of the family's 1533-position model. The record is from RNAcentral.